AGACACCAGAUCUUACUCUCUCUUUAUUAGUUCUGACAAAGGGAAAAGUCCAUGUGAGAACACCACAGCAAGAAGUCAACAAGCCACAAGCUAGGAAGAGUUCCCUGACCAGGAACAGAAUCAGCGGCAUCUUGAUUGGGAUGCCUAUCCUUCAGAACAACAUGUCACCUGCACUCUGCUGGAGUACAGUAAUGUGAUCACGGUUAAGUGCAACCUCAAUCUCCAGGGCUCAAUUAAUC
This 239-nucleotide long non-coding RNA is filed under the name Callithrix jacchus (white-tufted-ear marmoset). RNAcentral's name for it is "lncRNA (ENSCJAG00000059118.2)". Lineage: Eukaryota; Metazoa; Chordata; Mammalia; Primates; Cebidae. The record is from RNAcentral.